This is a non-coding RNA of Pelodiscus sinensis (Chinese soft-shelled turtle), 2118 nucleotides long. The record is from RefSeq and is a predicted model, not a curated record. Lineage: Eukaryota; Metazoa; Chordata; Testudines; Trionychidae.
UCUGGGAGACAUGGCGCUGCCUACCACCUGGCACAGUCCCAUGCUGGCUCUGGGCGCAGCUCGCACCACACCGCUGGUUCUGGGAGACACACGGAGCCACCUGACCCAGGCCCCAGCCAGCUCUGGGUGUAUUUCACAGCACGCCACUGGCUCCGGGACACGUGGUGCCUCCUGCCACCCGGCACAGUCCCAGCUGGUUCUGGGCCUGGCGCGCUGCAGACUACAACUCGCAGGAGGCAAAGUGGGCCAGGAACAGAACCCCCAUUUAUAACAUUGCACCUAUGGGAAAUAAAGAUGUGACUUGUGAUGCCUCCACUUACGAUGGUUCUCCAGGAACCAAUUAGGUUGUAAGUGCAGGGAUUGCCUGUAGUGUAUCCAUUUUUAGAGCUUGUUCUGUCUAUAGUUGGGGGCUGCCUGCUCUGUGCCACCUUUCAGCCACCAGUCUUUUUGGAAAAACCAUACCUCUAAAGAAAACUUGUACUGAGUGUGUCCUUCUCCUCAUCCAACCAAGUCUUGCUUUUCACACUUGAUCCCACUUCUUCCCCCUUCCAAAAAGGUGAAGCAACUCUAGACUAAAAAAAAUCUGUGCAGAUUUAGUGACAUGGUUUAACCUUGUCUUUCCUUCUGGGCUCCCCUCUGCCCUAGAGUACACAGGUCACUCAUGACUGUCAUAUGACUGUGUGUUGAUUUGUAGAAGGAUGCUUGUAUAGUAAGUAAUAAUGCACUCUUCCUUGCAAGGAUUUGAAGGACCUACCUCCUUCACGACAACAAAGGUAUAAGAACCUGGAAUCUUGUCAGCAUCGUCCAUUCAUCUUCAUACUGUCUUAAUUAGUUAUUUUGUUAGGGUAUGUGCACAAUAUUUUUGAGUCCUUAGUGCUUGUCACUCAAUUUUUAAGCUGUUAUUUCAAUUUAUAGGUCACUUCCUUUCUGAUGUUGAUGUUUGCUUCAGAAUAGCACAUUUGAAUGGCCUACAGUGGACCUUUUGAACAGAAGGCAUUUCCUUGAGAACAAUUUAUUUUUAAAUAAAAAUUCUUUUCACGAUAUCCUGUCUGAUUAGUAUUUCGUUUCUCUCCUUUCCUUGGUUCUUGAAGUCCUUUUUUAAUCAGAUUACAUAAGAACAGCAAAGUUUUUAAAUAGCAACUAGCCAAUGACACUUUUGGUACUGUGGUCAGUAUUCUGACAUCGUCCGUCAGAGUGUGGAAGUUGUUACAAGCACGUCUUUCAGAAUAUUUGGUGUUCUGCAGAGUUUGACUGCCAUCAGUGCAGCAGUUUGUCCUGGGUUAGCACAACUUCUUCCAAGGCAAUUGUUACCUAUGUCCAUGGCACUUAGUUUAAACUCCCCAGAAACCUCUGGACAACUUGUUUUUAUUAUUCUUUGCAGAAGAUCUUGUGAAUACACACAGUGCCAUAUACAAAGUUGUCUGAAUAGAAUAGAGGAACUGGUGCACAUGGCUUGAGCUUGUUUAGGAAGAGACUUUCUUGUGAAUCAGGAAGCAUUUGUGACCAGUCUUGGGGUUUACAUCCCUUUCCUGUUUUCUCUCUCGUGUGUGUGUUGUGCGCUUAUAUUUAGCCAUGCAUCACAAUUCAUAAAGCUUUCAAGCUUUGUGUUGCUACCAGCAAGGACUCUUCUUAUCCAUUGAAGUUGAUGAUAAUACGAACAGUAUUGCCGUAACUUCUGCUUUUGUGCUGUGGUGGGCUCAUACAACUUAUUUUUUGUCAUAGAAUAGGAGUAAAAUACUUUAAAUAUACUGCUUUUUUCAUUCAGUUGAAUGGUCGAUUGAUCUGUUUUUUUGUCAGUAGGACAGAUGCUGCACUGUUACCUUGAGCGUCUCUCCCAGGGCAAAAUGUGAGCUUGGGGCUUGUGUGUGUUAGAAUUUGAGAUUAGCAUAAGGACAGGCACAUGUUUGUUUUCCAGUGCUAAAUCUGGAGCCCUUUUGAAGGGCUUAAAUGACGGGCGGGCAAUAAUUUUUGCUCGGGGGCCACUUCAAAAAUGUUUGACGUAGCCCCAGGCCACUCCAAAAGGUGUGGGGCUACCGCACUUCCAGACCAUGAUUGGUCCAGGCAGUGGGGGAGCCCCGUUGCCCCCCUUUCCAUUAGGCACCAUACCCUGGAAGAGGC